RNAcentral lists this ribosomal RNA (497 nucleotides) under uncultured bacterium. RNAcentral's name for it is "partial 16S ribosomal RNA". It matches the Rfam family "Bacterial small subunit ribosomal RNA", at positions 28 to 507 of the family's 1533-position model. The record is from RNAcentral.
GACGAACGCUGGCGGCGUGCCUAAUACAUGCAAGUUGAGCGCUGAAGGUUGGUACUUGUACCAACUGGAUGAGCAGCGAACGGGUGAGUAACGCGUGGGGAAUCUGCCUUUGAGCGGGGGACAACAUUUGGAAACGAAUGCUAAUACCGCAUAAAAACUUUAAACACAAGUUUUAAGUUUGAAAGAUGCAAUUGCAUCACUCAAAGAUGAUCCCGCGUUGUAUUAGCUAGUUGGUGAGGUAAAGGCUCACCAAGGCGAUGAUACAUAGCCGACCUGAGAGGGUGGUCGGCCACAUUGGGACUGGGACACGGCCCAAACUCCUACGGGAGGCAGCAGUAGGGAAUCUUCGGCAAUGGACGAAAGUCUGACCGAGCAACGCCGCGUGAGUGAAGAAGGGUUUCGGAUCGUAAAACUCUGUUGGUAGAGAAGAACGUUGGUGAGAGUGGAAAGCUCAUCAAGUGACGGUAACUACCCAGAAAGGGACGGCUAACUACGUG